Long non-coding RNA from Harpia harpyja (harpy eagle), 2577 nucleotides. RefSeq lists it as uncharacterized. The transcript is spliced from 2 exons. NCBI's taxonomy places the organism in Eukaryota, Metazoa, Chordata, Aves, Accipitriformes, Accipitridae. The record is from RefSeq and is a predicted model, not a curated record.
GCACUCAGAGAAGCUGCAGGUGCUGCCAGAGCAUCAGCAGAGCCACGGCAGAGGGUACCUGGCAUUUCUGUCUCUGGCUGCUCUUUCUGCAUUUCCACCAGAAAGUUUUCACACUCUUUCUAGCUGUGCACAACACAGACACUGUGGUCUGCUCAGAGUCAGCAGCCCCUGAAUGUAACAGCAACACCACAAGAGCUUUGGGAAGAGGUGGAGACAGAAGGCAGGGUAAGAGCGUGGGGAUGCCACAAUGAGCUAUUGCCUUCUCUGCCCCAAUCUGUCCCCACACCCCUGGGCCGAUGUUUGGGUCCUCCUGACCAUACUUGCCCAUCAGAAGUUUUAUUUUAACUAUCAAAGAGUAGCUGAAUCCUUCUGACUCAACUCCUGCCUGCCAGAGUGCUUCAGCCUUCUGCCCUCCCUCUCUGCAGCCUGCAGCAGUUUGCUCUCAGGCGUUAUCUGGCUUCAGCAUCUGCCCAACAUGGGUACGGCUGCUGACACGCCAUCAGCAGCACUGCCAGUCCAGAGAUGCCGAAUAUCUACCUCCCAUGCCCAAGAGUCACUCCAUAUAAUGACUAGCAUUCAGAGCUAAAAGCUGGGAUCUAACAACAAUGCAGAGGCCAAUUCCCUCCCUGAGCAGCUAGAAAUCAUAAAACGAUAGGGAAGUCCCACACCCCCACUGCACUGCUUGCUGCUCCUUCCCUGGAACGGCUCCAGCUCCCAUUCUUGGAAACAGCUCUUGGCCACUGGAGAGAAGAAAAUUUUCUCUUUCCACCCGUCUGACUCACAGCUCCCGAAACACUUCCUUCAAAGUCCUAGUCUAGGAUCUGAAAGUUAGGGAGAAGUCCAUGCAGUGUGACCCUGGGCCUGGGUAGAGCAUCACUGGGAUCUCAAUUUUACAAGCUAUUCUUUCAGAUCUGGCAGCAAAAUGCACACCUUGGCAAGUUCCAGAGAAACAAAUCACAGCAAAGUCAAAGAGAAGCUUGACUGGCACUUACCCUCUUCCUGAAGUGAGGGAAGCCCAACGUCCCUCUUAACCCUAGGGAAAGCUCUUUGUACUAAGAUUACUGUGCCGCUCAGGAUGUACUGUCAGAUUCAUGCAGACUGAAAGACAUUGGUUAUAUUUUUUCUAUAAACUCUUCUUCCUCUAUCAUCUAUGAUUUCUCCAAAAAACAAUAUAGUGAUGCCCACCAUGGCUUCAGGCAGUAGCAGUAUUUGACCCAGUGAUGGGAAGAUCUCUCUCAGUAAAAUCCCACAUAUGAUGCAGCUUUAUCUCAGUGAUGUGCACAAAGAUUUCCCCUUCCUUGGUGACAAAAAAUAUUUGAGACCACCCUUCAACUCAUUAUGGUUUUAUGAACACAAAGAUACAUUGAAGUGAACUCAACUGAACACAUUAACAGCCACAACUUCUUCCCCCAGCAAAGUGGCAAAACAACAUGCUACAGCUGAAGUGCUUGUGAUGUCUGCUGGCAGCAUCAGCCUGGGCUGGGGACAUACUGCUGAGGACACUACAGUGGUGGUGGCUCUCAAGGUGCAUAAGAGCCACCACGAAAGACUGACAUCCUCAAUCUUUCCCUCAGACUAAACGACAGGACAGGCUUCUUCUCCAUGUAUAUUGAGAUGAGAAAAGCAUCUCAGGUAUGAUUCCUCCUAAAAUUCUUUCUUUCAACACAUCUGCACAUGGGCAAAUAUACUGAAGGAGUAAAUCCUACUUACGUAGAUGGAUCUCUGAUAUACAACAUGCACAGCCAUGCGAUUUACUUCAGUGCGUUCCUGACAAAGCUGGUAGUGACAGCUGUGCUUGUGUCAGCAUAGCUGCAUGUAUGACAGACUAAUGGAGAGUAAGUUUGUAACAAAAAAUCCAACUAAAUCCAUCACAACAGUGAGCUCUCUAACUGAUCUGCUACAAAACUAAACAGGUAUAUAAGGGAAAAUUUCCCAAAGUAUAAAUUUCAAAGAAAUCUUUUUAGAAUUCAAAGGCUAAGGAUCUUUUUUAAUAAAAAUUAUUAUUCCUAAUAUUUCAAACACUAAGAAUCCCAUCCUGAAUAACAAACAAUUCUGCUUUCAUUAUAUGAACAGAUUUGGCAGAGGCAACAUAAUGAAAUUCACAUGUGUUCAUCCACCAGACUCCAGACCUCCAUUUAGAAAGACAGGCUCUUCUCACACAGCAUAACCUGGCACUGUUUUUCUGCUUGGCUCCUGUCCAAAGGCCAAAACCUGAAGAUUAAUGGUCACUGUUACAACAUUUGCUUUCUGCUUAGGAAUAUACAAGCAGUGGGGUUUUUUAAGCUAUAACUUUGAAAUGGCAAAAAAGAAAAGAAAUUAUUUUUGAGAUUUUUUUCUAACAAAAUUAGUAUUUAUCUAAGAAAUACUUGCUGCCAUUUCAACGUGUCUAAUUAACCAAUAGCUUUAUUGCAAGGCAAACACUGUCAUUCUUACAGGAAAGAAAAAACCCCAAGUUUUAGAAGUAACACUUGCAUGUUGAGAGGAGCUGUGGAAGGACAGUCUCAGUAAAUUCCAGAAUAAUUUGAUUAGGGGUUGAUUAUAUCAUCCUGAGACUAAUAAAAUAAGAUUGAAGAUUCU